Molecule: transfer RNA, 69 nt
Filed under: Laimosemion gransabanae
Lineage: Eukaryota; Metazoa; Chordata; Actinopteri; Cyprinodontiformes; Rivulidae
Description: tRNA-Ala
Rfam family: tRNA
About the family: Transfer RNA (tRNA) molecules are approximately 80 nucleotides in length. Their secondary structure includes four short double-helical elements and three loops (D, anti-codon, and T loops).
Source: RNAcentral
GAAGCCUUAGUUUAAUUAAAUCAUUUGUUUUGCAUGCAAAAGAUGUGGGUUAAAUUCCCGUAGGUUUUA